RNAcentral lists this ribosomal RNA (253 nucleotides) under uncultured bacterium. RNAcentral describes it as "partial 16S ribosomal RNA". It matches the Rfam family "Bacterial small subunit ribosomal RNA", at positions 524 to 776 of the family's 1533-position model. The record is from RNAcentral.
UACGAAGGAUCCAAGCGUUAUCCGGAUUUAUUGGGUUUAAAGCGCGCGUAGGCGGACCUGCAAGUCGGGGGUGAAAGCCCGAGGCUCAACCUCGGAACUGCCUUCGAUACUGCGGGUCUCGAGUCCGGGAGAGGUGAGUGGAAUUCCUAGUGUAGAGGUGAAAUUCGUAGAUAUUAGGAAGAACACCAGUGGCGAAGGCGGCUCACUGGCCCGGUACUGACGCUGAGGCGCGAAAGCGUGGGGAGCAAACAGG